GAUGAAGAACGUAGUGAAAUGCGAUACGUAAUGUGAAUUGCAGAAUUCAGUGAAUCAUCGAGUCUUUGAACGCACAUUGCGCCCCCUGGUAUUCCGGGGGGCAUGCCUGUCCGAGCGUCAUUGCUGCCCUCAAGCACGGCUUGUGUGUUGGGCCUCCGUCCUCCUCCCGGGGGACGGGCCCGAAAGGCAGCGGCGGCACUGCGUCCGGUCCUCGAGCGUAUGGGGCUUCGUCACCCGCUCUUGUAGGCCCGGCCGGCGCUUGCCGACACAUCAAUCUUUUUUCCAGGUUGACCUCGGAUCAGGUAGGGAUACCCGCUGAACUUAAGCAUAUCAAUAAGCGGAGGA
This 345-nucleotide unclassified non-coding RNA is filed under the name soil metagenome. RNAcentral describes it as "partial contains 5.8S ribosomal RNA, internal transcribed spacer 2, and large subunit ribosomal RNA". The stretch from base 1 to 120 matches the Rfam family "5.8S ribosomal RNA", at positions 35 to 154 of the family's 154-position model. The record is from RNAcentral.